Molecule: ribosomal RNA, 510 nt
Filed under: Weissella confusa
Lineage: Bacteria; Bacillati; Bacillota; Bacilli; Lactobacillales; Lactobacillaceae
Description: bacterial SSU rRNA
Rfam family: Bacterial small subunit ribosomal RNA
Source: RNAcentral
UGCAGUCGACGCUUUGUGGUUCAACUGAUUUGAAGAGCUUGCUCAGAUAUGACGAUGGACAUUGCAAAGAGUGGCGAACGGGUGAGUAACACGUGGGAAACCUACCUCUUAGCAGGGGAUAACAUUUGGAAACAGAUGCUAAUACCGUAUAACAAUGACAACCGCAUGGUUGUUAUUUAAAAGAUGGUUCUGCUAUCACUAAGAGAUGGUCCCGCGGUGCAUUAGCUAGUUGGUAAGGUAAUGGCUUACCAAGGCGAUGAUGCAUAGCCGAGUUGAGAGACUGAUCGGCCACAAUGGGACUGAGACACGGCCCAUACUCCUACGGGAGGCAGCAGUAGGGAAUCUUCCACAAUGGGCGAAAGCCUGAUGGAGCAACGCCGCGUGUGUGAUGAAGGGUUUCGGCUCGUAAAACACUGUUGUAAGAGAAGAAUGACAUUGAGAGUAACUGUUCAAUGUGUGACGGUAUCUUACCAGAAAGGAACGGCUAAAUACGUGCCAGCAGCCGNCGGU